RNAcentral lists this ribosomal RNA (666 nucleotides) under soil bacterium Kana-S2T-M1LLLSSL-3. Its description in RNAcentral is "bacterial SSU rRNA". It matches the Rfam family "Bacterial small subunit ribosomal RNA", at positions 105 to 767 of the family's 1533-position model. The record is from RNAcentral.
GGUGAGUAAUGUAUCGGAACGUGCCUAGUAGCGGGGGAUAACUACGCGAAAGCGUAACUAAUACCGCAUACGCCCUACGGGGGAAAGCAGGGGAUCGCAAGACCUUGCACUAUUAGAGCGGCCGAUAUCGGAUUAGCUAGUUGGUGGGGUAACGGCUCACCAAGGCGACGAUCCGUAGCUGGUUUGAGAGGACGACCAGCCACACUGGGACUGAGACACGGCCCAGACUCCUACGGGAGGCAGCAGUGGGGAAUUUUGGACAAUGGGGGAAACCCUGAUCCAGCCAUCCCGCGUGUGCGAUGAAAGCCUUCGGGUUGUAAAGCACUUUUGGCAGGAAAGAAACGUCAUGGGCUAAUACCCCGUGAAACUGACGGUACCUGCAGAAUAAGCACCGGCUAACUACGUGCCAGCAGCCGCGGUAAUACGUAUGGUGCAAGCGUUAAUCGGAAUUACUGGGCGUAAAGCGUGCGCAGGCGGUUCGGAAAGAAAGAUGUGAAAUCCCAGAGCUUAACUUUGGAACUGCAUUUUUAACUACCGAGCUAGAGUGUGUCAGAGGGAGGUGGAAUUCCGCGUGUAGCAGUGAAAUGCGUAUAUAUGCGGAGGAACACCGAUGGCGAAGGCAGCCUCCUGGGAUAACACUGACGCUCAUGCACGAGAGCGUGGGGA